CCUGGCUCAGGAUGAACGCUGGCGGUAUGCUUAACACAUGCAAGUCGAACGGGCUCUUCGGAGCUAGUGGCGGACGGGUGAGUAACGCGUGAGAAUCUGCCUUCAGGACGGGGACAACAGUUAGAAAUGACUGCUAAUACCCGAUGUGCUUAGCGGUGAAAUGAUUUAUCGCCUGGAGAGGAGCUCCCCGUCUGAUUAACUAAUUGGUGGGGUAAAAGCCUACCAAGGCGUCCAUCAUUAACUGGUCUGAGAGGAUGAGCCCCCCCCCUGGAACUGAGACACGGUCCAGACUUCCUACCGGAGGCGGCAGUGGGGAAUUUUCCCCAAUGGGCGCAAGCCUGACGGAGCAAUACCGCGUGAGGGGAGGAAGGCUCUUGGGUUGUAAACCUCUUUUCUCAGGGAAGAAUAACUGACGGUACCUGAGGAAUAAGCAUCGGCUAACUCCGUACCAGCAGCCGCGGUAAUACGGAGGAUGCAAGCGUUAUCCGGAAUCAUUGGGCGUAAAGCGUCCGCAGGUGGCCCUAUAAGUCUGCUGUCAAAGACCGGAGCUUAACUCUGGAAAGGCGGUGGAAACUGUAGAGCUAGAGUACGGUAGGGGUAGAGGGAAUUCCCAGUGUAGCGGUGAAAUGCGUAGAGAUUGGGAAGAACACCGGUGGCGAAAGCGCUCUACUGGGCCGUAACUGACACUCAGGGACGAAAGCUAGGGUAGCGAAAGGGAUUAGAUACCCCUGUAGUCUUAGCUGUAAACGAUGGAUACUAGGCGUAGCUUGUAUCGACCCGAGCUGUGCCGAAGCAAACGCGUUAAGUAUCCCGCCUGGGGAGUACGCACGCAAGUGUGAAACUCAAAGGAAUUGACGGGGGCCCGCACAAGCGGUGGAGUAUGUGGUUUAAUUCGAUGCAACGCGAAGAACCUUACCAGGACUUGACAUGUCGCGAAUUUUGGGGAAACUCGAAAGUGCCUUCGGGAGCGCGAACACAGGUGGUGCAUGGCUGUCGUCAGCUCGUGUCGUGAGAUGUUGGGUUAAGUCCCGCAACGAGCGCAACCCUCGUCCUUAGUUGCCAGCAUUAAGUUGGGCACUCUGGGGGAGACUGCCGGUGACAAACCGGAGGAAGGUGGGGAUGACGUCAAGUCAGCAUGCCCCUUACGUCCUGGGCUACACACGUACUACAAUGGUUGAGACAAAGGGCAGCGAGCGAGCGAUCGUAAGCGAAUCUCAUCAAACUCAGCCUCAGUUCAGAUUGCAGGCUGCAACUCGCCUGCAUGAAGGAGGAAUCGCUAGUAAUCGCAGGUCAGAAUACUGCGGUGGAAUCCGUUCCCGGCCCUUGUACACACCGCCCGUCACACCAUGGAAGCUGGCCACGCCCGAAGUCGUUACCCUAACCCGUAUGGGAGGGGGAUGCCGAAGGCAGGGCUAGUGACUGGGGUGAAGUCGUAACA
Molecule: ribosomal RNA, 1438 nt
Filed under: uncultured bacterium
Lineage: Bacteria
Description: bacterial SSU rRNA
Rfam family: Bacterial small subunit ribosomal RNA
Source: RNAcentral